UGUGUAAAAAAAAAAAAAACUUUCAUUGAGCAUGUUCAUGUAGCAGACUUGUUUUGUUUUCAUCUUUUCUUUUGUCCAUUGUGGUGUCGUUUUAUUUUCAACAUUGUAGGAUCUAAGAUUUCGUUCUUUCCUUCCUUGUUUCAGCAGUAACAUAUUUCCUCUAGGUACUGGAGUGGAGUCAGACUUUUUGUAUUUUAGGAUAAAAAAUUAUAAUGUAAUUUUUUUUUUUUUUAAAACAAUAUAACAUUAAUGAAAAUAAGUCAAUACAUUACUAUUGUUGUAUUUACGCAAUUCCAUACUUUGAAAGUUGAGUUUUCUUGCCCAAAAUACCACCCGAACAUAAUUAGGUGCGUAUGAGCAUCUUAAGGAUGCUCGAGCAAAACUCAAGCGCUCUAAGGACAAUAUGUUUCAGUAAUUCGCGCU
RNAcentral lists this long non-coding RNA (423 nucleotides) under Olea europaea subsp. europaea. Lineage: Eukaryota; Viridiplantae; Streptophyta; Magnoliopsida; Lamiales; Oleaceae. The record is from RNAcentral.